This 256-nucleotide long non-coding RNA is filed under the name Olea europaea subsp. europaea. The record is from RNAcentral. Lineage: Eukaryota; Viridiplantae; Streptophyta; Magnoliopsida; Lamiales; Oleaceae.
UUUAAUAGCUUUUUUGGGUUCUCAGAUGCCGCGGACUACCGGAACGGUUCGACUGUUCAUCGUCGUCGGCGACAAUGGAGGGGUAGGUUGUCAUGUCAUGUGAUCCAUCGCUGGUUCACGUGGCGAUGACUCUUGACUCGAAGUAUCUAUGCGGGUCAGUGGCGACGGUGCAUUCCAUUCUCCUCAUGUGUCUUGCCUGGAGCAGAUUUUCUUCCACUUCAUUGCUGCCGAGUUUGACCAACCAGCCCGCACUCCU